This 250-nucleotide ribosomal RNA is filed under the name uncultured bacterium. RNAcentral's name for it is "partial 16S ribosomal RNA". It matches the Rfam family "Bacterial small subunit ribosomal RNA", at positions 524 to 773 of the family's 1533-position model. The record is from RNAcentral.
UACGGAGAGUGCAAGCAUUAAUCGUAAUUAUUGGGCGUAAAGGGCGCGUAGGCGGGAGAAUAAGUCAGAUGUGAAAUUCCAAAGCUCAACUUUGGAGCUGCAUUUGAAACUAUAAUUCUAGAGGAUUGACGGGGAAAACGGAAUUCCACGUGUAGCGGUGAAAUGCGUAGAUAUGUGGAAGAACACCUGUGGCGAAAGCGACUUACUGGACUGUAACUGACGCUGAGUCACGAAAGCGUGGGUAGCAAAC